This 462-nucleotide long non-coding RNA is filed under the name Brassica napus (rape). Its description in RNAcentral is "long non-coding RNA (BNAP_LNC020416)". Lineage: Eukaryota; Viridiplantae; Streptophyta; Magnoliopsida; Brassicales; Brassicaceae. The record is from RNAcentral.
UUUAGGGUUUACGUUUAGGGUUUAGAGUUAAUGUUUUAGGGUUUAAAUUUGAAGGUUUAGGAUUUAGGGUUUUAGGGUUUAGGGUUCGAAUUUCGGAAAAUAUAGGGUUUAUGGUUUAAGACUAGGGUUUAGAAUUGAUGUUUCGGGGUUUAGGGUUUAGAAUUGAUGUUUCGGGGUUUAGGGGUUUAGUUUUGAUGAUUUAAAGUUUUUAGUUGAUGUUUUAAGUUGAGAUUAGUUAACCAUAGGUUUUUUUUUUCAAAGUUAAUCAAAGGGUUAUAAAUGUCUUUUACCCUUCAUUAAAAAUGAGGGUAAAAAUGGUUAGUAUAAACAUGAAAAGUGGUAUUUUGAAAGUGGUAUUUUUGGCAAUUUUUCAAUUAUAUAUUAUCAAAAAUAUAUAUCACACAAUUAAUCAAAUAAAUUACAGAUAUCUUAGUGAAAAAUCAUUAAAAAAUUGUUGAAAUA